Molecule: ribosomal RNA, 402 nt
Filed under: uncultured bacterium
Lineage: Bacteria
Description: bacterial SSU rRNA
Rfam family: Bacterial small subunit ribosomal RNA
Source: RNAcentral
UGAGGAAUUUUGCACAAUGGAGGAAACUCUGAUGCAGCGACGCCGUGUGAGGGAUGAAGGGGCUUUGCCUUGUAAACCUCUGUCGGGUGGGAAAAAAACGUUCGGUCGCCGAACUGGGAUUGUACCAUCAAAGGAAGGGUCGGCUAACUACGUGCCAGCAGCCGCGGUAAUACGUAGGACCCAAGCGUUGUCCGGAUUUACUGGGUGUAAAGGGUGCGCGGGCGGAUCUGUGCGUCGAGGGUUAAAUAUCCAGGCUCAACCUGGAAAACUGCCCUCGAUACGGCAGGUCUUGAGUACGAGAGAGGAUAGUAGAAUUCCUGGUGUAGCGGUGAAAUGCGUAGAUAUCAGGAGGAAUACCAGUGGCGAAGGCGGCUAUCUGGCUCGUAACUGACGCUUAGGCAC